Small nuclear RNA from Nycticebus coucang (slow loris), 163 nucleotides. RefSeq annotates it as U1 spliceosomal RNA. NCBI's taxonomy places the organism in Eukaryota, Metazoa, Chordata, Mammalia, Primates, Lorisidae. The transcript has a single exon. The record is from RefSeq and is a predicted model, not a curated record.
AUGCUUACCUGGCAGGAGAGAUACUAUGAUCACAAAGGUGGUUUUCCCAGGGUGAGGCUCAUUCAUUGCACCCCGGAUUUGCUGGCCCCUGUGAUGUCCCCAAAUGUGGAAACUUGACUGCAUAAUUUGUGGUAGUGGGGGACUGAAUUAGCAAUUUUCCCUG